AACUCCAAUGGAGAUGAGGCCGGCA
This 25-nucleotide non-coding RNA is filed under the name Cricetulus griseus (Chinese hamster). The record is from RNAcentral. Lineage: Eukaryota; Metazoa; Chordata; Mammalia; Rodentia; Cricetidae.